UACGGAGGGUGCAAGCGUUGUCCGGAUUUAUUGGGUUUAAAGGGUGCGUAGGCGGCCCGUUAAGUCCGUGGUGAAAGCCUCCAGCUCAACUGGAGAACUGCCAUGGAUACUGACGGGCUUGAGUACAGACGAGGGCGGCGGAAUGGAUGGUGUAGCGGUGAAAUGCAUAGAUACCAUCCAGAACCCCGAUUGCGAAGGCAGCUGCCUAGACUGUAACUGACGCUGAGGCACGAAAGCGUGGGGAGCGAACAGG
RNAcentral lists this ribosomal RNA (253 nucleotides) under uncultured bacterium. RNAcentral describes it as "partial 16S ribosomal RNA". It matches the Rfam family "Bacterial small subunit ribosomal RNA", at positions 524 to 776 of the family's 1533-position model. The record is from RNAcentral.